UUGUAUAUAUAUUCUGUGAAAAGCAAUGAGAAAGCUAAGGAAAAUAUUCCCUCAGUAUGUUGUACUUGAUAAUUUUUUAAUUUUUUAAUUAGGGAAAUUACCAAUUGCAUAUGCUACUCAGAGGCCGGAUAUAAAGCAAUUUGCCAAGAACAUACUCAAGGUCGUCUCUGCUGAGGAACAGGAGUCUGUAAGAGGGGUUGGCACCCUCAAUUUUGAUGCCAUAUUGGCUCUACUUACUGAGGCCAUGCUGCGAGUGAAUGGGAUCAAGAAGCCCUUCUCAGACAAGCAGAAAGAGGUAAAGGCUGCCAAUGAUUUGGGCCGUCUCUUCUCUUAACCGGGCAAUGUAUGACAUAUGUAAAAAUGAAGCAUCGACUCAUGACAUCCUCCAUUCAUAGGUGGAGGCCAACCUGCAGGUCAAGCAAAAUUAGAGGCGGCCCAGAAGAGGGUAACUGAGCUAGAGACCCAACUGAAGUCAGCCAAGUCCGAGCUUGAGACGCUUGUAGAUGCUGGCAGGGAGACCGACAGCCUUCGUCGUUAAAAUGAGAGCCUGAAGAGGAAACUGUCCAACCAGGAGGAGUAGCUAAGGAAAAAGUACGUGACCAGGGUCGAGGAAGAAAAGAGACAAUUUAUCUCUGGCAAUGAGGCCGACUGUGUCACUCGGAUGAAGAUGGCGCGGAAGGUUUUGUAUCCUCAGGACGACUACUCUGUUUGGGAAUAUCGCUUUGACGAGGCCACCGAUGCGUUAAAUAAAUAGUGAUUGCAGUAGGAAAUGGAGGAUGCGUCCGGGGAUGAGGAUGCGGGUGAGAGAAUGAGGGGCUCGAGCAUCAUGAGAAGCAUCCGACUAAUGCAAAUGGACAACCAGAUGGUAAUUAAAAAGAGCCCUCCCCUCAAGCAGAAUAAGCUUGUAUUGAUGUGCCUGCGUGCCGAGUAUUGAUGUAUCUUUACCGACUGUAGAGUCGGGUUUUAUCAACAAUUUUCUCUUCACCGAUUGUAAUAUCAGUUAACACUUUCUUUUAACCGACCAUGAGGUCGGUUUUUUAAUAUGAAUAUGAAUCAGCCGGCCAUUAGGUCAGUUUUA
This is a long non-coding RNA of Chenopodium quinoa (quinoa), 1078 nucleotides long. RefSeq lists it as uncharacterized. The transcript has 2 exons. Lineage: Eukaryota; Viridiplantae; Streptophyta; Magnoliopsida; Caryophyllales; Amaranthaceae. The record is from RefSeq and is a predicted model, not a curated record.